This 184-nucleotide non-coding RNA is filed under the name Buttiauxella sp. Its description in RNAcentral is "6S RNA". It matches the Rfam family "6S / SsrS RNA". Rfam says of the family: E. coli 6S RNA was the first non coding RNA to be sequenced, but its function was unknown until recently. The record is from RNAcentral. RNAcentral also lists the same sequence under 1 other name. Lineage: Bacteria; Pseudomonadati; Pseudomonadota; Gammaproteobacteria; Enterobacterales; Enterobacteriaceae.
AUUUCUCUGAGAUGUUUGCAAGCGGGCCCGUCCCCUGAGCCGAUAUUUAAUACCACCAGAAUGUGGUGCUCCAGAGUCUGUGUGCAUGCUCGGUCCGUCCGAGAAGCCUGAUGAUUUUGACGCUGCAUUCACCUUGAACCAAGGGUUCAAGGGUUACAGCCUGCGGCGGCAUCUCGGAGAUUCC